UACGAAGGGGGCUAGCGUUGCUCGGAAUUACUGGGCGUAAAGCGCAUGUAGGCGGCGAUUCAAGUUAGAUGUGAAAGGCCUGGGCUCAACCCGGGAACUGCAUUUGAUACUGAAUUGCUAGAGUCCAAGAGAGGGUAGUGGAAUUCCCAGUGUAGAGGUGAAAUUCGUAGAUAUUGGGAAGAACACCAGUGGCGAAGGCGGCUACCUGGCUUGGUACUGACGCUCAGAUGCGAAAGCGUGGGGAGCAAACAGGAUUAGAUACCCUGGUAGUCCACGCCGUAAACGAUGGGUGCUAGAUGUCGGGCAGCAUGCUGUUCGGUGUCGUAGCUAACGCGUUAAGCACCCCGCCUGGGGAGUACGGUCGCAAGAUUAAA
Molecule: ribosomal RNA, 374 nt
Filed under: uncultured bacterium
Lineage: Bacteria
Description: bacterial SSU rRNA
Rfam family: Bacterial small subunit ribosomal RNA
Source: RNAcentral